RNAcentral lists this long non-coding RNA (476 nucleotides) under Brassica napus (rape). Its description in RNAcentral is "long non-coding RNA (BNAP_LNC004499)". Lineage: Eukaryota; Viridiplantae; Streptophyta; Magnoliopsida; Brassicales; Brassicaceae. The record is from RNAcentral.
GAGAACAGUGGGGUGUGAGGCCGUAUAUGAUUGAUGCAAGAGUUGUAUGUGUCAAAAUGGAAAUGGAAUAUGAUAACAAUAUAUUUUUGUUGUUGGGUCGCCAAGGACAUGGCAAUCAACCUAUGUGGUGUACAUGUGUGUUGAGCUUAGAGAGGAAGUUGGUUAAUGGAUCUGAUAUUAGUUGAAUCCAUGCAAGACAUUAGCUACGACUCGAGCAAAUGGAUAUCCCCUAUGAGAAUUGUAUGAACAACCAUGUUGAAUCCCUUAUGUUGGACCAAAGUGGGGGAGAUCAGAAUCUCGAGCCUGAGAUGAUCCAGGAAACCGCUUAGCAGAUAUAAUUGUUGAUGAUGAGCUGUUUUAUGAAAGGAUAGAAGAGGUACAUGACCAUCAGAGAAUUACGUCGACAAGAGUGGUGGUGAUAUGGAAAUGCAUAUGAGAUGAAAACAAUCUAGGGAUGAGAACGCUGUUGGAGAAUC